This 194-nucleotide ribosomal RNA is filed under the name uncultured eukaryote. Its description in RNAcentral is "partial 18S ribosomal RNA". It matches the Rfam family "Eukaryotic small subunit ribosomal RNA", at positions 1 to 195 of the family's 1831-position model. The record is from RNAcentral.
GCAACCUGGUUGAUCCUGCCAGUAGUCAUAUGCUUGUCUCAAAGAUUAAGCCAUGCAUGUCUUAGUGUAAAUAACUCUUAUGAAACUGCGAAUGGCUCAUUAAAUCAGUUAUCAAAUACGUGAUGGUCGCCUACUACAUGGAUAACCGUAGUAAUUCUAGAGCUAAUACAUGCACAAAGGCCCAUCAGUGGGUU